GGUGUGUAAGCGCUGUGAGGCGUUGAGCUAACCUGUACUAAUGGCCCGUGAGGCUUAACCAUACAACACCCAAG
This 74-nucleotide ribosomal RNA is filed under the name Salinivibrio kushneri. Its description in RNAcentral is "partial 23S ribosomal RNA". Lineage: Bacteria; Pseudomonadati; Pseudomonadota; Gammaproteobacteria; Vibrionales; Vibrionaceae. The record is from RNAcentral.